Long non-coding RNA from Drosophila elegans, 552 nucleotides. RefSeq lists it as uncharacterized. The record is from RefSeq and is a predicted model, not a curated record. The transcript has 2 exons. NCBI's taxonomy places the organism in Eukaryota, Metazoa, Arthropoda, Insecta, Diptera, Drosophilidae.
UAUCGAAAAUUAAAAGUAAUGCGCAAGUUUAAUACAGGUAUACAAUCAAUAAUUAGACGAAAUUGGUGGCUUUGGUGUGAUAAUAAUGGAGGCACACCCGAUCUCCGGCAGCCCGAGGUCUAUUCCUGGCUUAAGACCGGUUCAUAUUUUCGCUGCUUUUUUACAUUUAAUUUCGAAACGUUUAAUGCCGACUAAAGACCGUUGCCAAAAUCACAAGUGGUCUAAGCGGCAAUAAUUGGAGGGAAAUAUUUAUAUCAACAAAUUACAAGCUUGGCAAAAUGGCUAAAAGUAAACUACGGGACCAAAUUUGGAGGUCGAUGCUGCUGCUGGCGAUUGCUGCUCACUUGGAUGACUGGGUCCUCUGCUGGCGACUUGAUCGUGUCGACCAGGUAAGGGCCGCCGGGUAAGUUUCUUCUGGACACGAGUCUUCUAAACUUCCGGGGCUCUUUAGAAAGAGUCCCCGGUGGCCUGUAAAUUUUUAAAAAUCACUGUUGUAUAUAAGCUUAAGGCCAAUAAACAACUACUCAUUUUAACUUAUCUAAGCACAAAAUA